This 529-nucleotide ribosomal RNA is filed under the name uncultured bacterium. Its description in RNAcentral is "bacterial SSU rRNA". It matches the Rfam family "Bacterial small subunit ribosomal RNA", at positions 791 to 1320 of the family's 1533-position model. The record is from RNAcentral.
UAGUCCAUGCUGUAAACGAUGAAAACUCGCUGUUAGAUAUUUUAAAUAUUUAGUAGCUUAGCUAACGCGAUAAGUUUUCCGCCUGGGUAGUACGACCGCAAGGUUAAAACUCAAAGGAAUUGACGGGGGCCCGCACAAGCGGUGGAGCAUGUGGUUUAAUUCGAUGUAACGCGAAAAACCUUACCUACCCUUGAAUCCUUGGAAUUUGAUAGAGAUAUCAAAGUGCCCUCGGGAACCAAGAGACAGGUGCUGCAUGGCUGUCGUCAGCUCGUGUCGUGAGGUGUUGGGUUAAGUCCCGUAACGAGCGCAACCCUUUUCCUUUGUUGCUAACAUGUAAAGAUGAGGACUCUAAGGAUACUGCCGGUGAUAAAUCGGAGGAAGGUGAGGACGACGUCAAGUCAUCAUGGCCCUUAUGGGUAGGGCUACACACGUGCUACAAUGGACGGUACAACAGGUUGCUAAAUUGUGAAAUGGAGCCAAUCCCAUAAAGCCGUUCUCAGUCCGGAUUGAAGUCUGCAACUCGACUUCA